This 488-nucleotide ribosomal RNA is filed under the name uncultured bacterium. Its description in RNAcentral is "bacterial SSU rRNA". It matches the Rfam family "Bacterial small subunit ribosomal RNA", at positions 29 to 506 of the family's 1533-position model. The record is from RNAcentral.
AGUGAACGCUGGCGGCAGGCCUAAUACAUGCAAGUCGAACGGCAGCACAGUGGAGCUUGCUCCAUGGGUGGCGAGUGGCGGACGGGUGAGGAAUACAUGGGAAUCUGCCCAGUCGUGGGGGAUAACGUAUGGAAACGUACGCUAAUACCGCAUGCGCCCUUCGGGGGAAAGUCGGGGACCGCAAGGCCUGACGCGAUUGGAUGAGCCCAUGUUCGAUUAGCUAGUUGGCGGGGUAACGGCCCACCAAGGCGACGAUCGAUAGCUGGUCUGAGAGGAUGAUCAGCCACACUGGAACUGAGACACGGUCCAGACUCCUACGGGAGGCAGCAGUAGGGAAUAUUGGACAAUGGGCGAAAGCCUGAUCCAGCGACGCCGCGUGGAGGAAGAAGUCCUUCGGGAUGUAAACUUCUGAACUAGACCGAAUAAAAGGACCUGUGGACACACAGGAGAAGAAAGUAGGACUAGGAAAGUACCCGGACUAACUACGU